Molecule: ribosomal RNA, 549 nt
Filed under: uncultured Proteiniphilum sp.
Lineage: Bacteria; Pseudomonadati; Bacteroidota; Bacteroidia; Bacteroidales; Dysgonomonadaceae
Description: bacterial SSU rRNA
Rfam family: Bacterial small subunit ribosomal RNA
Source: RNAcentral
AUUAGAGUUUGAUCAUGGCUCAGGAUGAACGCUAGCGACAGGCCUAACACAUGCAAGUCGAGGGGCAUCGGGACGUAGCAAUACGUUGCCGGCGACCGGCGGAUGGGUGAGUAACGCGUAUGCAACCUACCCGUAGCAGGGGGAUAGCCCGUUGAAAGACGGAUUAAUACCCCGUAACACAGGGGCUCCGCAUGGAGAUUAUUGUUAAAGGGUCAUUUCUUUUAGAGGUGGUCCGGCUGCGGAUGGGCAUGCGUUCCAUUAGGUAGUUGGUGUAGGUAACAGCUCACCAAGCCGACGAUGGAUAGGGGAACUGAGAGGUUGGUCCCCCACACUGGUACUGAGACACGGACCAGACUCCUACGGGAGGCAGCAGUGAGGAAUCUUGGUCAAUGGACGCAAGUCUGAACCAGCCAUGUCGCGUGAAGGAGGACGGCCCUAAGGGUUGUAAACUUCUUUUGCAGUGGAAUAAAGUUUGCCACGAGUUGGCGAUUUGCAAGUACGCUGCGAAUAAGGAUCGGCUAACUCCGUGCCAGCAGCCGCGGUAAUAAU